UGACAUUGUAUCUAAGGCGCUAAAAGCCAACACUCAAAGCAGGAUUGUAAAAAAGAGAGGUCGCACAAUAUUCGACCUGAUACGAAAUGAUAAGAGUCAAGUACCUGAAGAUAGAAAGGCUGGGGUGUACAGUAUUCCAAUAUAUAACACUGAUGAGAGGUGCUCCCAGCAGUGCAUGGGUGGCGCAGGGAGGGGCUUGGGGACACGGCUUGCAGAGCAUCGAAUGGAUGUCGGGGAGGGAAGGUUGAGUGCGGCCCUGGCGAGGGGGACCUAUGAGCGGGACAUCGCUGUAAUGUGGAGGGACGCUGGGGUUGUCGGGCGGGUCUGGGAGGUUGGUGCUCUCAGUGCUGCGGAGAUGAUUGGGAUUGGUCGCCGAGGGGCCCACCUAGGGGUUGUCAAUGAUA
RNAcentral lists this long non-coding RNA (404 nucleotides) under Androctonus crassicauda. The record is from RNAcentral. Lineage: Eukaryota; Metazoa; Arthropoda; Arachnida; Scorpiones; Buthidae.